GAUGAACGCUGGCGGCGUGCCUAAUACAUGCAAGUCGAGCGAACAGAUGAGGAGCUUGCUCCUCUGACGUUAGCGGCAGACGGGUGAGUAACACGUGGAUAACCUACCUAUAAGACUGGGAUAACUUCGGGAAACCGGAGCUAAUACCGGAUAAUAUAUUGAACCGCAUGGUUCAAUAGUGAAAGACGGUUUUGCUGUCACUUAUAGAUGGAUCCGCGCCGCAUUAGCUAGUUGGUAAGGUAACGGCUUACCAAGGCAACGAUGCGUAGCCGACCUGAGAGGGUGAUCGGCCACACUGGAACUGAGACACGGUCCAGACUCCUACGGGAGGCAGCAGUAGGGAAUCUUCCGCAAAGGGCGAAAGCUUGACGGAGCAACGCCGCGUGAGUGAUGAAGGUCUUCGGAUCGUAAAACUCUGUUAUUAGGGAAGAACAAAUGUGUAAGUAACUAUGCACGUCUUGACGGUACCUAAUCAGAAAGCCACGGCUAACUACGUG
RNAcentral lists this ribosomal RNA (497 nucleotides) under uncultured bacterium. RNAcentral's name for it is "partial 16S ribosomal RNA". It matches the Rfam family "Bacterial small subunit ribosomal RNA", at positions 28 to 507 of the family's 1533-position model. The record is from RNAcentral.